RNAcentral lists this long non-coding RNA (310 nucleotides) under Malus domestica (apple). RNAcentral's name for it is "long non-coding RNA (MDOM_LNC010911)". Lineage: Eukaryota; Viridiplantae; Streptophyta; Magnoliopsida; Rosales; Rosaceae. The record is from RNAcentral.
AAAAGCAACGUACAUAUUAGGCUCCUUUUGUUGUGAAAGGUUGAGAAGGAUAGGAUCAAAGUUGUUCAGUCUUUGUUAUACCAAUCACAUUAAAGAGAAAAAACAAGAAAGGUCUACGUCCACGUACCAUCCAGUCGAUGAGUGAAGAAAUAUUAAAAAAAAAAGUCAUUUUUUUCACUUAUAUUAUGAUAUGUGAUGUACUGCUUGAAAAAAUCUCUACUUAAUGAGCGCUAGUAGCACAAUUUGAAAAAUAAAACCUCAUUCUACUUAUAUAACAACAUAUGAUGUACGUUCCGAACACAAUUAAAAA